RNA transcript from Varanus komodoensis (Komodo dragon), 5448 nucleotides. It is a transcript of the gene named NACHT, LRR and PYD domains-containing protein 12-like, with no coding region annotated. The transcript is spliced from 5 exons. The record is from RefSeq and is a predicted model, not a curated record. Lineage: Eukaryota; Metazoa; Chordata; Lepidosauria; Squamata; Varanidae.
CUAGGCCACUUGGAGUUCUUUGUAGGAAAAAAGGCCAGACACAAAUCCAAUGAACAAAUAGAUUAGGAGCCCCCGGCCCAACACACCGUUUGCUCCCCUGCAGAGGGACAGGCUCCCUGGGCAGAAGCACCUCCACCCAUUCGGCAAGGACUGGCUUCAGAUGCCACAACCCACACGCAAGGGCUGAAGGUGGCUUGUUGCUUACCCACGGGUUUUCGCCACAACACGCGUUGUCAUGUUGUCUGAAUUCUGCUGAGAUAACAAACCCUGGGGAGCAACCAUUCAGAAUCCCACAGCCAACCAUGGGUUGUCAUCAUGGGUUGUUCAUGGUUAACCAACUGUGGCUUGUUAGCACAGCUGGGUUCAGACAACAAGAUAAUCCACCUUUCAACGACCUCAACCCACCCUCCACGAUACUCGGCCCUUGAGUGUAAGUGAUUCUCCCUUGAGCCCAGUUACGCCAUUUUGCGUUUGUUCGAGGGAGCGUCGUCCUGGUGUCCGUGGCCUCCAGGCACAUCUCCAAAAUCCAACCCCGUCCGAUCGAUCUUUACCCCGGGAUCGCAGCGAGACACCCAGCAGCUGCCUGCCACUCUGCCUGGCUCAGCGCAGUCCCGUCUGUGGGGCACCUUGAGUGGAAAUGCAAGGAUUAUCCACGGCCAACCCUGAUGUUCUCUCUGUGGGUCCUCCUAGAUCGCCGGAGGAGAUACCAGAGGAGCAUCCAGGAGAUGUUCGGGAGUGCUGCCAAACAGGCCUCUGCCCCGGCCGCAGCGGUGAGUCUCCACCACAGGUGCGCCGAGUUGCUUCUCGGCAGGACACCACACCCUCAGGAAGGCAGCCAUGCGCUCCUGUCUGUGCUCAGGACGCACCAGAAGGCAGCAGCUCGUCCGGAGCACUUCCUGGAAGUAGGCGUGGAGAAUCUGUUUGGUCCAGAUGCAGAGCGGAAGAGCUCCAGAACCGUCGUGCUGCUCGGGGCCCCUGGAGUGGGGAAGACAACCGCCGUGAGGAAGCUGAUGCUGGACUGGGCAGCUGGGAAGUUCGGGCAAAGGGAGUUUCAGUAUGCUUUUUACCUCUCCUGCCGAGCGGUGAACUGCAGUAGCGAGCCCAUGAGCGUGGCUGACCUGGUUCUCGGCGGCUGUCCUCCAGGGACUCUCCUAACGGAGGAGGACGUCUUUUCGGACCAAGAGAGCAUCCUCUUCGUUGUGGAUGGCUUUGAGGAACUGGAGUGCUGGGAUCUUCGGAGGGAUGUGCCAAGCAGUGACCUGCAGCGAAAACAGGCCGCAGCAGACCUGGUGAUGGGCCUGAUUCGAAGAAAGCUGCUAGCCAGGUGCCAUCUCAUUGUGACUAUGAGGCCCAUGGCUCUGAAGGCACUCCUGCCAAGCCUGCGAUCCCCACAGUUUGUGGAGGUGCUGGGACUGUGCCCAGCUGAGAGGAGGAAGUAUUUCCACCACUUCUUUGAAAACGAAGAAGAAGCCACUCGCGCUUUUGAACUUGCAAGAAGCAAUGAGACACUUUUCAGCAUGUGCUUCCUUCCUGCUGUGUGCUGGAUCAUCUGCACCAUUGUCAGGCAGAAACUUCCAAGCGGCCCCCUUAACGAUAUCCCAGAGACUGCAACCAUCACCGAAAUCUACAUGCGGCUCCUCUUGAGCUUCUUGGGGUGUCACUCGCGGCCGAGUGACCUGGAAGGAUUGUGCUCCUUAGCCAAGGACGGGACGCUCUGUAAGAUGACGGCCUUCAGCAAAGACAUGCUGAUUAGCCACGGUUUGGGCUCGUCGGGCUCAGGACCCCUUUCUUCAGGCCGGAAGCUUCUCCAUCAAGACGAGCACAACGCCACCCUGUUCAAGUUCAUCCACGUAAGUUUCCAGGAGUUCUUUGCAGCCUUGUUCUAUCUUCUGGACACAGACGGGGACCCGGCAAGAUCUUUCAGCGACUUGGAGGAGGUGCUUGCAGAUAAGAAGGAAUGUGGCAGCCCCUCCUCCAUGCUCGUGCGCUUCCUCUUCGGCCUCUGCAGCACGGAGAGGCUGGGCGUCCUGCAAGACGCGUGGGGCCACAAGGCGUCCCGGACACGCCUCUGGCAAGUGCUGCUGAGCUGGGUGAGCGGAGAAGCCGAGUGCCACUCCUUCAGGGACAGGGGGCGACUGCUGGAAUUGUGCCACUGCAUCUACGAGAUGGAAGACCCCACGUUCGCUGAGAGCACGAUGGCCCACGUCCGCGACCUGGACCUCCGGGAGCAGCUAGUGACCAAGCUGGAUUUUGCUGCGCUCUCGUAUUGUCUCUCGUCUUCCGGGGCGCUCCAGGCACUCCGCCUCUCCGGCUAUGAGCUGGGGCCCGCAGGAGCUGCCCAACUGCUUCCCGGGCUGCUGAAGUCUUUGGAGAUCCAGCUGAACAGCUGCGGCCUCGUGGCGGCCAUGUGCAAAGACCUCGCUGCCGUGGUGAGCAGGCCAACUCUGACCCGCCUGGACCUGGGUGACAAUCCACUGGGAGACGGUGGCAUCACACACCUGUCUGCUGGACUUCUGGAUCCACACUGCAAGCUGCAGACUCUCCGGCUGCACCGCUGCAAUCUCACCGCCCUCGCCUGCGAGCCCCUGUCGCUGGUCCUGGCGGCUAACCCGGCCCUCACCGACCUGGAUCUGCAAGGGAACCACCUGGGCGACGAGGGAGUCGAGACGCUGUCGGAAGGGCUGAGGCACCCCGGGUCGCGGCUGCAAAGGCUCACGCUGCACCUCUGUGGCCUCACGGAGUCAUCCUGCAAAGCCCUCUCCUCUGUCCUGAAAGCCCACGAGUUCCUGACGGAGCUGGGCCUGGGGGACAACAGCCUCGGGGACACAGGUGUUCGGCAUCUCUGCACCGCGCUGAAGUUCUGCAAGCUUCAGAAACUGGAGUACGUGUCCAUCCCCUCCGCGUCAUCCAUAAUUCAGAAUAAUCAUAUGCUUUGCUCUGAUUAGAAUCCCACAUUUAUCAAGAAAAAUGGCACUCUUUUCUGCAGAUGAAAAGGGUGUUAUGGGUCAUAGCAGCUCCUGGAGUUGUGUAGGAAAGCGGGGGACACCCAGGAAGGCGGCGUGUCCGUCCGUCCGUCCGCGCGUGUCUGUCUGUCCCGCAGCUGAACCUGCUGCAGCUUCCAUAACCUUUUGGAAAGUAGCCCGUGCAGAGUGCAUUGCAGUGGUCCAAACAGAAGGUAGCCAAGGCACGGAUGCGCCUGGCCAGACUGGGCAUCUCUCGGAACGGGGCUGCUAGAAUGCCCCACCUCAAGGUUCAGGGCCCAGUCGCCUGAGCUCGGGCCUCCAGCGAACGUGCCAGCCCGCUUCUCGCAGGCCGACUCUCCGUUCCCCAGGAGGAAUCUCCCACCGUCUUCAGAGGAACCAUUGCCCCGUCGCUGAGGCUCUUGCGCAGCUCUUGGGUUUUGCUCGCACGAGGGACCGUUGCAUUUUCCUUGGUCUGUCGCUGGAGAGGGAGGGAAGGCAACAGAAAGGUCCCUCCGCAGCAAGCAAGACCUCAUCAGCAUCCCUCACGUCCUCCCUGAGCUGAGAAGCCCCCAGACCCUUUCAGUCUUUCCUCAUAGUAAAGGAGGUCCAGCCCCCUCGUUAGCCCCUUUGCCCGCCCGCCCUGAGCCUCCUCAGGACUUCCUUCUGAGUCGUGUGCAAGGAUCCGGCUGGAGAGGCCUCCUUGCACACCUGAGAGAAACCUCUGCCCGUUGGCCUGCGCAGAUUCGGUUCCCAGAUCAGUGGGGGUCUGCAAGGGAGCUCUGUCGGAGAGGGGUCAUCCCUAGACUGCGUUCUGCCGAGAUUCCGGAUGGUGAAACCUGUGGAGGCCCCAAGGAGCAAGUCUGGUCUCUGCAGUGGCUGCCCUCUGUGCCGAGGCUUUGCAGUCGGCCAUGACCCAGGCAGCCGCAGGUCGGCAGCUGGGCACCUUUUGCUGAAAAGGUGGGGGCUGCUACAGAGAAGGCCCUCCCCCAGCCAUCUCCCCCCUCACUUUGUUAGUGGGUGGGACUUGGAGAAGGGCCUCCGCCGAAGACCUUCACGAUUGGGCAGGGCACGUGGAGACAGGUGUUCCCUCGGAUCUGCUGGCCUCCAGCCAUUUAGGGCUUUGCAUAUUAGAGUCUGCACUUUGCACUGGGCCCAGACAGCAACCGGUUGCUGGUGCAGCCUGCCAAGGACGGGUGCGACGUGUUCGCGAAGGCUGGGGCUCGGCAGUAGCCACGUGGCUGCUCUGAACGAGUGGCAGUGCCCGGACCCAGGGAGAGCGCGCUGCGGCAGUGCAGGUGUGAGGUUACCGGUGCGUGGGCAACUGUCGCAAGGCCUCGCUCUUCCAGGUGGGGACGCAGCCGAAAAACCGGCCUGAGCCGAUGGAAAGCACGCCUGGCCGCUGAGUCCGCCUGAGAAACAAGCAGCAGCUCGGGAUCCAGGAGCCCUUGCAGGCUGCAAACCGUGCCCUUUAGGUUUGGGGAGUGUGGCCCCAUCCGAAACAGGCUGAAAGUUCCCCAGCUGGAAGGACGGAUGGACGGACGACCUGCUAAUAGCGCCUCUGCCUUGUUUGGACUGAGCUUCAGCUCGUUGGCUCACAUCCAGUCCAUUACCAAGCUGACAGAGGCUAAGGACAGUAACUGCUCCACCCGGACCGGAUGGAAACGAGAGGUAGAGCUGAGGGUCAUCGGCACAUGGAAGGCGCUUCAGCCCAAACCUCCAGAUGCCUCUCCCAGUGGUUUUGUGUAGAUGUUGCAGAGCAUGGGGGACAGAACGGGGCCUGGCAGAAGUCCAUGGCACAAAGGCCACAGCGCAGAGUAGUGGUCCCCCAGCACUACCUUCUGGAGACGAUCCGCCGGUAGGAGCGGAAUCACCACAAAGCGGUCCCCGCCACUCCCAGCCCAGCCAUCCUCUCCAGAACUAUGGUCAAUGGUAUCGAAAGCUGCCGAGAGGUCCAGGAGAUCCAACAGGGUCACAUUCCCCCGGUCUCUCCACUGGCAAAGGUAAUCUCCCAGGGGAGCAAGACCGCUUCCUUUCCAAAACCAGGCCUGACGCUGACUGAAACGGAUCCAGAUAAUGCCUGGAGCUGCCCAGCCACAACCUACCUGCUCGAUCACCUUGCCCAGGAAGGGAAUAUUGGCCGUAGGCCUAUCCUGGUUUACCUCGGCUGAGUCCAGGUUGGUUUUUCCAGGAGUGGAGCAAUCACAACUGCCUUUGCCUCUCUUCAAGAGGGGUUGGCAGCCUCCUGAACCCAAGCACGAGUUCCCUCCUUAGACGUCACAGUCAGCAAGGGUCGAGCGAGCAGGUCGUGGGCUGGACCAAACCAAGCCCCUUGUCCACAUCCUCGGGCCGCAUAGCCGAACAGUACUUGAAAAAAGCAAGCAGGUCUCCUCUUGCCUUCUCUUCAAGGGUAAAUAUGUCCGGGAGUAAUUAUCAGCAGAGCUCAGGCUUUCUACAGGAUCCCUGAAUCAAAAUACAAGGCGCAAAC